RNAcentral lists this ribosomal RNA (253 nucleotides) under uncultured bacterium. RNAcentral's name for it is "partial 16S ribosomal RNA". It matches the Rfam family "Bacterial small subunit ribosomal RNA", at positions 524 to 776 of the family's 1533-position model. The record is from RNAcentral.
GACAGAGGGUGCAAACGUUGUUCGGAAUUACUGGGCGUAAAGCGCGUGUAGGCUGCUCUGCAAGUCGGAUGUGAAAGCCCUGGGCUCAACCUAGGAAGUGCAUACGAAACUGCGGAGCUUGAGUCCUGGAGAGGAAGGCGGAAUUCUCGGUGUAGAGGUGAAAUUCGUAGAGAUCCGGAAGAACACCGGUGGCGAAGGCGGCCUGCUGGGCAGUGGCUGACACUGAGGCGCGACAGCGUGGGGAGCAAACAGG